This 762-nucleotide ribosomal RNA is filed under the name uncultured beta proteobacterium. RNAcentral describes it as "bacterial SSU rRNA". It matches the Rfam family "Bacterial small subunit ribosomal RNA", at positions 32 to 784 of the family's 1533-position model. The record is from RNAcentral. Lineage: Bacteria; Pseudomonadati; Pseudomonadota; Betaproteobacteria.
GACGCUGGCGGAUGCUUUACACGCCUGCCAGUGAACGGCAGCAUGGAGAGCUUGCUCUCUGAUGGCGAGUGGCGAACGGGUGAGUAAUAUAUCGGAACGUGCCUAGUAGUGGGGAACAACCAUCCGAAAGGAUGGCUAAUACCGCAUACGACCUACGGGUGAAAGCAGGGGAUCUUCGGACCUUGCGCUAUUAGAGCGGCCGAUAUCUGAUUAGGUAGUUGGUGGGGUAAAGGCCUACCAAGCCGACGAUCAGUAGCUGGUCUGAGAGGACAAUCAGCCACACUGGAACUGAGACACGGUCCAGACUCCUACGGGAGGCAGCAGUGGGGAAUUUUGGACAAUGGGGGAAACCCUGAUCCCAGCCAUUCCGCGUGAGUGAAGAAGGCCUUCGGGUUGUAAAGCUCUUUCGUGAGGGAAGAAAUUUUACUGUCGAAUAAACAGUAAAGAUGACGGUACCUUAAGAAGAAGCACCGGCUAACUACGUGCCAGCAGCCGCGGUAAUACGUAGGGUGCGAGCGUUAAUCGGAAUUACUGGGCGUAAAGCGUGCGCAGGCGGUCUUAUAAGUCAGAUGUGAAAUCCCCGAGCUCAACUUGGGAACUGCGUUUGAAACUGUAAGACUAGAGUGUGUCAGAGGGAGGUAGAAUUCCACGUGUAGCAGUGAAAUGCGUAGAGAUGUGGAGGAAUACCAAUGGCGAAGGCAGCCUCCUGGGAUAACACUGACGCUCAUGCACGAAAGCGUGGGGAGCAAACAGGAUUAGAUA